RNAcentral lists this long non-coding RNA (311 nucleotides) under Chrysolophus pictus (golden pheasant). RNAcentral's name for it is "lncRNA (ENSCPIG00010009530.1)". Lineage: Eukaryota; Metazoa; Chordata; Aves; Galliformes; Phasianidae. The record is from RNAcentral.
CCCCUUUCCAAGCAAUGCCACGCAUAGCCCAGGCUCAAAGGGCAGCUGAAAUAGCAGACUUGGCUGCAGCUGCUACCUGGAAAUUCAGAGGCUGUUGUCAUCCUUAUUUCGUCUGUCGCUAGUCAGCUGGAAAGCACAGUGACCUAUCAGCAUGGUGGAUUUUAUGGCAAAUUUCUACAGCCAAGACACAAAUGUUGACAGAUUUCCAGCGAGGUUCUCAUUGCAGUGCCACGUUGUCAUACACUUCAGGCCCGCUAAAAUGUCAGAAGACCCCUUCUGUUCUGUGGCGGCAUCCAGGUACGUAGAGAAAA